UACGAAGGGGGCUAGCGUUGCUCGGAAUCACUGGGCGUAAAGGGCGCGUAGGCGGCGCGACAAGUCACUUGUGAAAUCUCUAGGCUCAACCCAGAACGGUCAAGUGAUACUGUCGUGCUAGAGUGCGGAAGGGGCAACUGGAAUUCUUGGUGUAGCGGUGAAAUGCGUAGAUAUCAAGAGGAACACCUGCGGCGAAGGCGGGUUGCUGGGCCGACACUGACGCUGAGGCGCGAAAGCUAGGGGAGCGAACGGG
RNAcentral lists this ribosomal RNA (253 nucleotides) under uncultured bacterium. Its description in RNAcentral is "partial 16S ribosomal RNA". It matches the Rfam family "Bacterial small subunit ribosomal RNA", at positions 524 to 776 of the family's 1533-position model. The record is from RNAcentral.